UUUGCCUAUUCCGCAAAAUUGUCCAAUAACCAUAAUGGGAAAUAGGAUUUAAUAAUCUGUUGGGGAGUCAAAUGUUUUGUUCGAUGUACAUUAUAUACCUAGGCUACUCAUUGAAAAAUGAUAUUUCAAGGGGAAAAAGCACCGUCAACGUUCUUUUUCACGUUUAUUUACUUGCAUCUCAAUCGAGUAGGCCUAUUUUGUGUUUUAUUUGUUACGCAAAACUCUUCAGAGGCAAAUAGACAUCUUUGUCAACACUGUUUGGCGCUGUUGACUGUGUACUGAAUUCGUAUUUAAUUGCCUUCCCUGCGGCUUUUCAUGAAUCAUGACUCAAAUAAUUCAACAUACCUUACACCACGUGCUAUCUUUACCUCAACAAGGCAAAAAGCAUUCCUGACUGGAGAACAAUCGCAAAAAUGAGGCCUACACUAGUGCUCAAUUGGGCGUGUAGUGUAUCUCACUAGCUGUGACAGUGCCACUUUAAUUGGAUUUGAGCUACAAUGAUCUAGAAGGCUUCCACUGAACUUUUCUGUAGCCCAUAUUUUGACGCCAUAUUCAAUUAUCGACGACAAAUAAGCGUUUGUGUGUUGAAAACCUCUCCUCCCGAACACAUACAGUCGCACUGCUGAAUAUAUUACAUCAUGCUCAACCAGCUUCAUUAUGUUUGGUCAUAUUAAGCAGGCUUUAAAAAUAAAAUAAACAUUGCGUAAAUCUUUGCUAAUAAUAAUAAUAAUAAUAAUAAUAAUAAUAAUUGCAAAAUAAAAAUAAGAGUACAAAAUGUUUAGAGCGUCACGCGGAAGUAGAACAACACAAGCUGAGGCCUUUGUGUUGCGAUGCUGUUAACUGAAGCAUUUAUUAAAUCACAUUUACGCAAAACUGAAUUGACCAGUAAAUACAUAAAUAAAAAAGGAAAUAAAAUCGUUGUUUUUAGGAUAGGGUAUUUAAGGUGGCCUACCAAAAGAAAUGGAAAAAUCCUAAAAUGAUCAAGAAAAAAUACAAUAGCAUAUCCACUUUGUAACAUGUAGGACUAUUUGGGGUUAUGCCUCAAUGAGGAAAACAAUAAAUGGUCAAACAUCGUGUAAAUCUUUCAAAACUGAGAAAGAGAUAAUAAUAUAGAACAAAAAUGUCCAUGCGCUGAAUGGGCAGAUAACAUUUUAUAUUCCCCCCCAAUUUUUCAAAACACUGUAUUUCACCUGCCCUACAUUUUUAUUCAAGGGAUCAUUAUCUGGCUGUCAUUUAAUUUAUUUAUUUAUUUUUCAUUUGUAAAAUAUGUCAAACAUGUAAAUGUUCAUUCUAAUUGACAGGUCUAUGUUAACCAUAAUAUUCUGAAUAUUUUCUAAUUCCAGUGUGUUGUAUAACUUUAUUCAACUUCAGCCUCUCAAACCCACAGUGUCUUUGUGAGAGACCAGAGGACUGGAGCUACAAGAAAAAAGACCAUCUGCAACUGCCAGCCAUUUACACUGCCUUUGGAGCUAGAGAGGGACUGUGGAAAAAGGGUGCAAUUGUCCAUAUGAAAGAAAAGAAAAAUAAUAGUCAACCCUCAUCCUUCUCCUACCAGCUCCACUUCCUUCAUCAACGGAAGCAUUUAGUGCCAUCUGUGCCCCCAGAGAAAAGAAAAAAGAAAGUGAGUGAGAGUCUACAUCCAAGUGCCAAUGGGUACAAAGAGGCUGCCAGUUGCCACGGACCACCAGAUGCUGGAAGACUGAAUGAGGGGUGUGCUUUCAGGAAGCCAUCUUGAUGGAGAAACUGGCUGCAGCUCUCUAAAAUGGCUGUGUUGGCAUGAGGCUCAAUGAUCAAACUGUGGGGAAAAAACAUCACUGUCAUCAGCUGCCAGAGAAACCAUGGACAUCUGGCUAUUUUUGAAUCAGAUGUUCAAUCACAGCACCUCAGGAAUCUAGCAUCUCUCCCAUAUGGUUCACUGAGAAAUUUAAAACAAGCAGAUAUUAGAGAUGGAUCUACAACUUGCACUAAUUGAAUUAACUGAGUUUCUUAAACCUUUACGCAAUCAACAGUACCUGAAGGUGGUGAAUGAUUUUGUACAAUGUGUGUGGAUGGGAAGAAAUUCUGACUGUUCUCCCAGUUAAACCUUAGAAGUUCAAGAUAUUCAAACAACGUGUUGUACAAUCAUUGACAAGACUGAACAGAAUAAUGAUGGAAAAUAAUAAUGUGCCUUAAUGUGUGAAAUGUUUACAAUGAAAAUUGCACUUAUUUAAAUAUCUCUCUUGGUAGAUAAUACCACACAAUAUGAAUGACUAAUUUGAGGUCCAUAUUUUAAAUGUAAAUUGAACGUCUCUUUGUCUUAAAUGAAAUGUAUGCACUUUCAUGUUGAAGAUUACAGCCAUUUAAAUAUUUGCCUGUGUCAUUUAGAUCGACAGGAAAUUGUACUUAUACAAUCUGCUUGUAUGUAAAGGUGCUUCCUACUGAUUUUUUGUCAUAGCCUACUUGUUAUUUUGUAUGAUAAUGUGAUGCAUGAAAUAAACCCAUUAAACUGAA
Molecule: long non-coding RNA, 2490 nt
Organism: Myxocyprinus asiaticus (Chinese sucker)
Lineage: Eukaryota; Metazoa; Chordata; Actinopteri; Cypriniformes; Catostomidae
Exons: 3
Source: RefSeq, a predicted model, not a curated record